CAUAUACUCCCUCCGUCCGGAAAUACUUGUCAUGAAAUGGAUGUAUCUAGAUGUAUUUUAGUUCUAGAUACAUUCAUUUUCAUCCAUUUUGAUGACAAGUAAAUCCGGACGGAGGGAGUACUGA
Molecule: non-coding RNA, 124 nt
Organism: Triticum aestivum (bread wheat)
Lineage: Eukaryota; Viridiplantae; Streptophyta; Magnoliopsida; Poales; Poaceae
Source: Rfam